UGCUUUGAUUUGUGAGGGUGAGUGU
This 25-nucleotide non-coding RNA is filed under the name Rattus norvegicus (Norway rat). The record is from RNAcentral. Lineage: Eukaryota; Metazoa; Chordata; Mammalia; Rodentia; Muridae.